Molecule: transfer RNA, 60 nt
Filed under: Dipodomys ordii (Ord's kangaroo rat)
Lineage: Eukaryota; Metazoa; Chordata; Mammalia; Rodentia; Heteromyidae
Rfam family: tRNA
About the family: Transfer RNA (tRNA) molecules are approximately 80 nucleotides in length. Their secondary structure includes four short double-helical elements and three loops (D, anti-codon, and T loops).
Source: Rfam by way of RNAcentral
GUGGCUCAGUGGUAGAGUACUUGCCUUGCAUGCAAGAGGUCCUAGGUUAAAUUCCUCAGC